UAGCGAGACUGCCGGUAAGUAAACCGGAGGAAGGUGGGGAGUGACGUCAAAUCAUCAUGCCCCUUAUGACCUGGGCUACACACGUGCUACAAUGGUUGGUACAACGAGUUGCGAGUCGGUGACGGCGAGCUAAUCUCUUAAAGCCAAUCUCAGUUCGGAUUGUAGGCUGCAACUCGCCUGCAUGAAGCCGGAAUCGCUAGUAAUCGCGGAUCAGCAUGCCGCGGUGAAUACGUUCCCGGGCCUU
Molecule: ribosomal RNA, 244 nt
Filed under: uncultured Streptococcus sp.
Lineage: Bacteria; Bacillati; Bacillota; Bacilli; Lactobacillales; Streptococcaceae
Description: partial 16S ribosomal RNA
Rfam family: Bacterial small subunit ribosomal RNA
Source: RNAcentral